AGGUGAUUACCCCAAUUGGCAGAGGGUAGGAGCUUAAACCUCCGAUGUUGAGAGUUCGAAUCUCUCAUCACCUA
Molecule: transfer RNA, 74 nt
Filed under: Erwinia phage phiEa21-4
Lineage: Duplodnaviria; Heunggongvirae; Uroviricota; Caudoviricetes; Andersonviridae
Also listed under: 8 other names
Rfam family: tRNA
About the family: Transfer RNA (tRNA) molecules are approximately 80 nucleotides in length. Their secondary structure includes four short double-helical elements and three loops (D, anti-codon, and T loops).
Source: Rfam by way of RNAcentral